CCUACGGGUGGCAGCAGUGGGGAAUAUUGGACAAUGGGCGAAAGCCUGAUCCAGCCAUGCCGCGUGUGUGAAGAAGGCCUUCGGGUUGUAAAGCACUUUCAGUGGGGAAGAAAGCCUUGGGGCUAAUACCCUCGAGGAAGGACAUCACCCACAGAAGAAGCACCGGCUAACUCCGUGCCAGCAGCCGCGGUAAUACGGAGGGUGCGAGCGUUAAUCGGAAUUACUGGGCGUAAAGCGCGCGUAGGCGGUCUGAUAAGCCGGUUGUGAAAGCCCCGGGCUCAACCUGGGAACGGCAUCCGGAACUGUCAGGCUAGAGUGCAGGAGAGGAAGGUAGAAUUCCCGGUGUAGCGGUGAAAUGCGUAGAGAUCGGGAGGAAUACCAGUGGCGAAGGCGGCCUUCUGGACUGACACUGACGCUGAGGUGCGAAAGCGUGGGUAGCGAACAGGAUUAGAUACCCCUGUAGUC
Molecule: ribosomal RNA, 465 nt
Filed under: Vreelandella stevensii
Lineage: Bacteria; Pseudomonadati; Pseudomonadota; Gammaproteobacteria; Oceanospirillales; Halomonadaceae
Description: partial 16S ribosomal RNA
Rfam family: Bacterial small subunit ribosomal RNA
Source: RNAcentral